RNAcentral lists this unclassified non-coding RNA (4497 nucleotides) under Octopus sinensis (East Asian common octopus). RNAcentral's name for it is "coatomer subunit beta', transcript variant X1". Lineage: Eukaryota; Metazoa; Mollusca; Cephalopoda; Octopoda; Octopodidae. The record is from RNAcentral.
CUGUUCCGGUCUAGAGUCAUAAUAGCCACGUAGGGUGGAGUGACAACUCCACAGCUAACUUAUACUUUUAGAAAUAUAUCUCUCGCAACUAUAAUAUAUAUAUAUAUAUAUAUCAACAUAUAAGUAUAUUGCAUACCUUCCGUACACUCUGGCUCCCGUCUUAUACACUAAAUAAUGCCGCUUCGUUUGGAUAUAAAGAGGAAGUUGUCAGCACGGUCUGAUCGUGUGAAAUGUGUAGACUUACACUCAUCGGAGCCAUGGAUGUUGGCCAGCCUGUACAACGGCAAUGUUCAUAUUUGGAAUCUAGAAUCACAGCAACUGAUUAAAUCUUUUGAAAUCUGUGAUCUUCCCGUGCGAGCUGCAAGGUUUGUGUCCCGCAAGAACUGGAUUAUUACAGGAUCUGAUGACAUGCAUAUCCGUGUUUUCAACUACAACACAUUGGAGAGAGUGUUUCAGUUUGAAGCACAUUCGGACUAUGUUCGUACCAUCGCAGUACAUCCCACUCAACCAUACAUCCUGACAAGCAGCGAUGACAUGUUAAUCAAGCUGUGGGACUGGGAGAAAAAAUGGGCAUGUACCCAGGUAUUUGAGGGACAUACCCACUACGUCAUGCAAAUUGUCAUUAACCCUAAGGACAAUAACACAUUCGCCAGUGCUUCCCUUGACAGAACUGUUAAGGUGUGGCAGCUGGGAUCGUCAACACCAAAUUUUACCUUGGAGGGUCACGAGAAAGGAGUCAACUGUGUAGACUAUUAUUCCGGUGGCGAUAAACCGUAUCUGAUAUCUGGAGCUGAUGACAGACUGGUCAAGAUCUGGGACUAUCAGAACAAAACUUGUGUACAGACCCUGGAGGGUCAUGCCCAGAAUCUUUCAGCUGUUGCAUUUCAUCCAGAGUUGCCUAUCAUUUUGACUGGUUCCGAAGAUGGAACUGUCAGAAUAUGGCACGCCAACACUUACCGUCUUGAGAGUACACUAAAUUAUGGAUUAGAAAGAGUUUGGACUAUUGCCUGUCAGAAAGGAUCAAACAACGUUGCUCUUGGUUACGAUGAAGGAAGCAUCAUCAUAAAGCUUGGCCGUGAAGAACCAGCCAUGACCAUGGAUGUCAACGGCAAAAUUAUUUGGGCAAAACACUCGGAGAUCCAGCAAGCAAACAUCAAGACUAUUGGGGACCAAGAAAUCCGGGAUGGUGAAAGAUUGCCCCUCGCAGUGAAGGACAUGGGCAGUUGUGAGGUUUAUCCACAGAGCAUACAACACAACCCUAAUGGCAGAUUUGUGGUGGUGUGUGGUGAUGGAGAAUACAUAAUAUACACAGCAAUGGCACUGAGGAACAAGAGUUUCGGUCCUGCGCAGGAAUUUGUGUGGAGCAAUGAUUCUGCUGUCUAUGCCAUCCGAGAGAGUAACAGUUUGGUGAAGAUCUCCAAGAACUUCAAGGAGCAGAAGACAUUCAAACCUGAUUUUGGUGCAGAAGGUAUCUAUGGUGGCCAUCUACUCGGAGUACGUUCUGUUAGUGGUUUAGCUUUUUAUGACUGGGAAUCGACAGACCUUAUUAGAAGAAUUGAAAUAACGCCAAAACAUAUCUACUGGAGUGACAAUGGAGAAUUGGUGUGUAUCUCUACUGAGCAGUCAUUCUUCAUCCUUAAGUACUCGGCUGAGGCAUUUGAGAAGGCCAAGGAUACUAAGGAAGGAGUCACCGAAGACGGUAUUGAGGAAGCUUUUGAUGUUGUUGGUGAGAUUGAAGAAUCGGUCCGGACUGGUAUUUGGGUUGGUGAUUGUUUUAUUUACACCAAUGGAGUCAACCGACUCAACUACUAUGUUGGCGGUGAGAUCGUCACCAUUGCACACCUGGACAGAGUGAUGUACCUACUGGGAUACAUUCCAAAGGAUAACCGUCUCUAUCUUGGCGAUAAGGAACUCAAUGUCGUCAGCUAUUCCCUGCUACUGUCUGUUCUGGAAUACCAAACUGUGGUGAUGAGACGCGACUUUGAGACUGCUGACAAGGUUCUGCCCACAAUCCCUAGGGAGCAACGGACCAGAGUGGCUCACUUUUUGGAAAAACAGGGUUUCAAAUCUCAAGCUCUUGCAGUGACCUGUGACCCUGAACAUAAAUUUGAACUGGCUUUACAACUGGGUGACCUCCGAGUGGCCUAUCAACUUGCAAAGGAAGCUGAGUCUGAGCAGAAAUGGAAACUUCUUGCUGAGCUGGCUAUCAACAAGUGUGAGUUUGGCCUGGCUCAAGAGUGUCUCCACCAAGCACAGGACUUUGGUGGCCUUCUCCUACUGGCUACAUCUGCUGGUAACACAGACAUGGUCCUUCGUCUUGGUCAAACAGCAGAGAAAGCCUCACAGAAUAAUGUUGCAUUCCUCUCUUACUUUGCUCUUGGAAAACUUGAUGAAUGUUUAGAAGUCCUCAUCAACACCAACCGUCUGCCUGAAGCUGCCUUCUUUGCCAGGACAUAUCUACCAAGCCAGAUAUCACGAGUUGUAAAACUGUGGCGGGAAGCUUUGUCUAAGAUCAACAAACGUGCUGCUGAUUCUUUGGCAGACCCAACCGAUUACGAGAACCUUUUCCCUGGUUUGAAGGACACUUUCAAAACUGAGCAAUAUCUCCAACCCCAGUAUUCUAUAUCUUUGCCAGCCACAGCCUACGGCAGCCGACCAUUGAACUCUGAAAGGAACCCUGUGGAAGAAAUGUUGAAAGCUGAAGCGGAAGGGAAGUUUGUGUACAAACCAAGCGAUGGUGACAAGAGCAGUGAUCCGACAGAGGACUCUACGUACAACGAAGCAGAGGUGGUAUGUGACACCGGCACGUCCGACGACGACGCCAACCGUCAUUUUGGACAGGAUGACCACCAACAACCACUACUGCAACCACUACAACCACAACCACCACCACCACAACAACAAGUAGAAAAGGAAGCAGCAGCAGCUGAAACAGUGCCAACUCUUCCUGCUGCUACUCCCACUGCUACUCCUGCCGCUCUUCCUACUCCGGCGUCUCCCUCACCCUCACCCUCCCCGCCACCCUCCACCGCCGCUUUGCCUCCCCCCGUUGCUGUCACUCCGUCCCAUGCCGCAAUUGUGAAAGAUGAUGACAAAAAGGAGGAGGAGGAGGAGGAGGAGAAGAAGAAGAAGACUGGGGGUCUGACCUCUCCGACCCACCAGAGCCUGCUGUUGGUGCACCCCAUGCUACUGCUCGCAGUCUGUCUCCUACCCCAUCCCCACCUCCAUCUAAACCUCCUGCUGACCCAUUGGAGCUCCAUGAUAAAGACAACAUCGCCCAACAUACUGAAAGUGAAACAGCAUCAACAGAAAAAUCUGUAGACUCAAUAUUGUCAAAACAAGCUGUGUCAGACCUGGAGAAAGAAUUGGAAUUGGAUUUAGAGAACUUGAACCUUGAUAAUGUUGAUACUUCAGAUGUCAAUUUAGAUGAUGAUUUGUUAGAAGACUAGAGACAAGAUGACAGACCCAUAGCUCUGAACUCCGAUGAUCAACAAGCACACAUUUCUGGACUAGUUUACUGCCACUACUCACUCCACAUCACAAACCACAAACGUCUGCCUCAACAUGCAAACUCUGAACUCCAGUUCACCACCACCACCACCUCCACCAGCUACAUACACACACUGUACCCCAUAUCCUUAUAUUCUCUACUAGCACUAUCCCCCCCUCCCCUUCCCACUCUCUUCUCCUCAUACUUCUGCUGUGUCACUCACUCUACAGUUGUAUAUCAUUCCAGAAGUCUUGACUGACAGAAGAUGGUUUCUUGUCCAAAUUUGAAUGUGGAUCACAGUUUCUGACUUUUAAAGGACUGCAGUGGCUGCAUAGGUUACAGUAGUGGUGGUGGUGGUAGUGGUGAUGAUUUGUUUUGUUUUGUUUGUUUUGUUUUUUUUUGUUUUUGUUUUUGUAGUAUAACUAAUUUGGUCUGUUUAGCUGGAGCAAAACCGCUACAGCUCUGAUGGCUUCACAUCUGAUAACAGUGAAGAAACUUGUCAUUAUGCAUAUAUACACAUAUAUAGAUAGAUAGAUAUACGCAUACACACAUACAUAUGGAGAGGAUGUGUAUAUACAUUAACAGGUAUGUAUAUAUGGGUGUGGUUCUUUAAACCAUCACAACUACGGCCACACUGGAGCAUCAUUUUCAUAUGCAUACAUGUGUGUAUGUGUGAGUGUAUGUAUGUGUGUGUGUAUAUAUAUAUAUAUUUGUAUGCAUGUGUGUGUGUAUGUGUAUGUAUAUUUAUAUAUGUAUGUGUGUAUAUACAUAUGAAUGUAUGCCUGCACACACACUUCAUUUAGCAAGAUUGGGGGAAAUGCUAAUUAUCAAAUUAUUUUGACUAAUUUGAGGAAGUCGUUUGAAUAAAAAACCUAUCAUUAUUAUUAUUACUGGGAGUAGUGGUGGUGGAUGUGAUCUUUUAUCAUUAUUAUUAUUAAUAUUAAUAUUAUUAUUAUUAUUAUUAUUACCACUACAUUGAAAAUCCUAUUAAAGUUUCACAAAUGAAA